UCUCUGUGUCUCUCUCUGAUGGUGAUGAUGUCGUUCUGUGGCGGAAGCCAUGAAGAAGAGUCGACCACCUCUGUGUACGAGGACUACUCAGAAACUCCAACACCAGACUAUGACUACAGCGCCACCUUCGACUACUACUUCGUGACCGGUCUGUAUCCUCCUGCUGC
This is a long non-coding RNA of Centropristis striata (black sea bass), 167 nucleotides long. RefSeq lists it as uncharacterized. Lineage: Eukaryota; Metazoa; Chordata; Actinopteri; Perciformes; Serranidae. The record is from RefSeq and is a predicted model, not a curated record. The transcript has 3 exons.